UACAGAGGGGGCAAGCGUUGUUCGGAAUUACUGGGCGUAAAGGGCGCGUAGGCGGUCUUUUAAGUCUUGUGUGAAAUCCCUCGGCUCAACUGAGGAACUGCACGGGAUACUGGAAGACUUGAGUUCGGGAGAGGGAAGCGGAAUUCCGGGUGUAGCGGUGAAAUGCGUAGAUAUCCGGAGGAACACCGGUGGCGAAGGCGGCUUCCUGGACCGAUUACUGACGCUGAGGCGCGAAAGCUAGGGGAGCAAACGGG
Molecule: ribosomal RNA, 254 nt
Filed under: uncultured bacterium
Lineage: Bacteria
Description: partial 16S ribosomal RNA
Rfam family: Bacterial small subunit ribosomal RNA
Source: RNAcentral